This 69-nucleotide transfer RNA is filed under the name Erinaceus europaeus (western European hedgehog). It matches the Rfam family "tRNA". Rfam says of the family: Transfer RNA (tRNA) molecules are approximately 80 nucleotides in length. Their secondary structure includes four short double-helical elements and three loops (D, anti-codon, and T loops). Further hydrogen bonds mediate the characteristic L-shaped molecular structure. tRNAs have two regions of fundamental functional importance: the anti-codon, which is responsible for specific mRNA codon recognition, and the 3' end, to which the tRNAs corresponding amino acid is attached (by aminoacyl-tRNA synthetases). tRNAs cope with the degeneracy of the genetic code in two manners: having more than one tRNA (with a specific anti-codon) for a particular amino acid; and 'wobble' base-pairing, i.e. permitting non-standard base-pairing at the 3rd anti-codon position. The record is from Rfam by way of RNAcentral. Lineage: Eukaryota; Metazoa; Chordata; Mammalia; Eulipotyphla; Erinaceidae.
GAGGAUUUAGCUUAAUAAAAGUGAUUGAUUUGCAUUCAAUAGAUAUAGGAUAUAAUCUUGUAAUCCUUA